RNAcentral lists this ribosomal RNA (440 nucleotides) under uncultured bacterium. RNAcentral's name for it is "partial 16S ribosomal RNA". It matches the Rfam family "Bacterial small subunit ribosomal RNA", at positions 338 to 795 of the family's 1533-position model. The record is from RNAcentral.
CCUACGGGGGGCAGCAGUGGGGGAUAUUGCACAAUGGGGGGAACCCUGAUGCAGCGACGCCGCGUGGGGGAAGACGGUCCUCUGGAGUGUAAACCACUGUCCCCAGGGACGAAAAUGACGGUACCUGGGGAGGAAGCGCCGGCUCACUACGUGCCAGCAGCCGCGGUAAUAAGUAGGGAGCGAGCGUGGCCAGGAAGUACUGGGGGUAAAGGGAGCGGAGGGGGGGGUGCAAGUUGGGUGUCAAAACUACCGGCUAAACUGGUAGUCGCACUCAAAACUGCAGCUCUUGAGUGAAGUAGAGGCAGGCGGAAUUCCUAGUGUAGCGGUGACAUGCGUAGAUAUUAGGAGGAACACCAGUGGCGAAGGCGGCCUGCUGGGCUUUUACUGACGCUGAGGCUCGAAAGUGUGGGGAGCAAACAGGAUUCGAUACCCUUGUAGUC